AUUGAACGCUGGCGGCAGGCCUAACACAUGCAAGUCGAGCGGUAGCACAGGGAGCUUGCUCCUGGGUGACGAGCGGCGGACGGGUGAGUAAUGUCUGGGAAACUGCCUGAUGGAGGGGGAUAACUACUGGAAACGGUAGCUAAUACCGCAUAACGUCGCAAGACCAAAGAGGGGGACCUUCGGGCCUCUUGCCAUCAGAUGUGCCCAGAUGGGAUUAGCUAGUAGGUGGGGUAACGGCUCACCUAGGCGACGAUCCCUAGCUGGUCUGAGAGGAUGACCAGCCACACUGGAACUGAGACACGGUCCAGACUCCUACGGGAGGCAGCAGUGGGGAAUAUUGCACAAUGGGCGCAAGCCUGAUGCAGCCAUGCCGCGUGUAUGAAGAAGGCCUUCGGGUUGUAAAGUACUUUCAGCGGGGAGGAAGGUGUUGGGGUUAAUAACCUCAGCAAUCGACGUUACCCGCAGAAGAAGCACCGGCUAACUCCGUGUCAGCCGCCGCAGUAA
Molecule: ribosomal RNA, 504 nt
Filed under: uncultured bacterium
Lineage: Bacteria
Description: partial 16S ribosomal RNA
Rfam family: Bacterial small subunit ribosomal RNA
Source: RNAcentral